GUUAAAGAGAACAGAGUUUAGUUCAGUUAAGUAGGUUACACACACACACACACACACACACACACACACACACACACACACACACACACACACACAGCAAAGCAGUUCAGUAAGACGGCUCAUUAAAUGAUCCACAGACUUCCAUAUCUGAUCCCAAACCUCCAUAAAAUAAUAUUUUUGUGAAAUAAUUUAUUGUAUUCAGAUGGGAGUAGUUUGCUGACACGUGCAUAUGGCUGAGGGUUCAGGAGGUAUGUGAGAUGAUCAGACAUUCAUCAGACAUCCUGACUAUCACGGAGUGUAAAUGUGAGUCUAAGAAAGAGAAAAAAGGGGGCGUGGCCAAUACAUUUUUUUAUUUGAUAAAUUGGGUAGAUAUCAAUUUAAAAUAUUUAAAGACAAACACACAAUACGUGUGAAAUCAAUCUAACAUGGAGGUCUGUGGAAAAAUACCCACAAUGCACAUCACUAGCCGCUGCUUUUAUUCCAUCAGUGAUCAAACAUGGACUCGUUACAGACUAGCAUAUGUGCAUCGGUUGCUAUGGAAACUAGGCAAACAUGCACAUGCAGAGAUCUUCUAUCUACAACACAUCUGGUAAACUGCACAUAAAGUCCAGAAGGUGGUGAUUCAUUCUCUAUAAGAGCAGCUCAGACAGUAGCGCAGGUUUAUAUCAUGUUAGCGUUUCCAUAGUAACGGCUUGUUCACAGGGACGUGUACAGUGCAGUCCACUGAUUAUAAACAACUUGAUCAUUUUAAGAUGUUUCAGUGACAUGUAUGGAAGGAGUCUCCAGUGUCAGUGCACCCCAACCUCAACAUGAGAUUAAAAGUAACUAUAAAUUAAUAAACACCACACAUACACACACACACACACACACACACACACACACACACACACACACAAUUGUAAUGACUGAUGAAAUAAAAACAGGUCUUGUUUAUCUACACAGGAAUUCAACCCAAAGUAGAAUGUGAAUAAAAUGUAAAUUUCCUCUGUAGGUCAGAUGCAGCUGAUCAGACGAGAUCGGAUCACAGUCCGAGUCUGAGUUAAUGGUUUAGCAAUAAUGAAGUGUAGUGCCUCCAGUUUGGCAUGGUGUAGAUAUUAAAAAGGUAAACCAUGCCAAACUGAUGACCGGUUCAUAAUGUUAAAUUAUUCAUUUCUGUAUUUUUGCAGUAAAUAAAAGUAUAAAAAUAUUUAGUCUUUAAACUAGAUUAUAUGUUUUAUUUAUUUUUUUUGUAUAGGAAAUGUUUAGAAAGUAUUUUAAAAGAUUUUAAAUUAAACAAUUCUUUUUUACUUAAUUCCAUUUAUGUAUUUUACAAAAUUAAAUAAAUUAAUACUCAAACGUUGGUGUGUGUGUGUCUGUGUGUGUGUGUACACUAAAUAUAACACCAUGUCUAUGUGCAUUAACAUUCAUACCAACAUCCUUUCUGUCUUAUUCCUGUAUAAAUACACUAUAUUACCAAAAGUAUUCGCUCCUCUGCCUUGAACUUCAGUAACACCUGAGUCAUGAUGUUGACCCUGUUGAACAGCUUCAGCUCUUCUGGGAAGGCUUUCCACAAGCUUUAGGAAUGUGUUCAUGGGAAUGUUUAACUGUUCCUCCAGAAGCACGUUUGUGAGGUCAGACAGUGAUGUUGAACGAGAAGGUCUGGAUCACAGUCUGAGCUCUAAUUCAUCCCAAAGGUGUUCUAUUGGGUUGAGGUUCAGGACUCUCUGCAGGCCAGCCGAGUUCUUCCACACCAGACUCACUUCUCUAUGUGUUUAUAGAUGUUGCUUUGUGCACUGGUGUGCAGUCGUGUUGGAACAGGAACAGGUCGUCCCCAAACUGUUCUCAGAAGCAUGAAGCAUGAGUGCAUGAAAUGGUCCAAAAUGUCUCGUUAUGCUGAAGCAUUAAGAUUCUUUCACUGGAACUGAGUGUUCGAGCCCAACUUCUGAAUAACGUCCCCACAUCAUAAUCCCCUCCACCAAACUUUACACAAUGCAGCCAGACAGGUAGCGUUCUCCUGCUACCCACUGAACCCUGACUCGUCUAUCAGUUUACCAGACAGUGAAGUGAUUCUUCACUCCAGAGAACACGUCUCCACUGCUCUGGAGUCCAGUGACCUCGUGCUCUACACCACUGCAUCCGAUGCUUCGCAUUGCACUUGGUGAUGUAAAGCUCGGGUGCAGCUGCUCGACCAUGGAAACCCAGUCCAUGAAGCUCUACGCACUGUUCUUCAGCGGAUCUGAAGGCCACAUGAAGUUUGGAGGUCUAUAGCUAUUAAAAGUUGGUGUUCUCUGUGCACUACGUGUCUCUGCAUCUGCUGACCUGCUCUGUGGUUUUACGUGUCUGAGUUUCUGUCGUUCUCAAUCGCUUCCACUUUGUUCCAACACCACUAACGCUUUACUGUGGAAUAUUUAGUAGUGAGGAAAUUUCACGACUGGACUUAUUGCACAGGUGACGUCCUGUCACGGUACCACUCUGGAACUCACUGAGCUCCUGAAAGACACAUCCUUUCACUAAUGAUUGUAGAAGCACCUGCAUGCCCAGGUGAUGAUUUUAUACACCUGUAACCAUGGAAGUGAUUAGAACACCUGAAUUCAGUGAUCUGGAUGGGGGACUGAAUACUUUUGGCAGCAUAGUGUGUGUGUAUAAUCCUUUUAUUUUAUACUUUACAGGGUUCCCACUCUAAACCAAAUUCCCUGACUUUCACUUGUUAAAAAGCUGAAUUCUAUAAUGAACAGGAAAACAGCCUGCUCUUGUGCUGAGCACUGAGCAGAGGAAAACCAGACACAGACCUACUUCAAAUACAUCAUUUCCAAAGGCCUGGUCAAUCUUUUCAAUUAGUCUACAACACCAAUACAACACUGAUUAAAACUGCAAAUAACGACUGAUUUUCACAAAUCUUCAGGCACCACAAGAUUUCAGCCUCCUGGGUCUUUGCUGCUGUAAAGUGGAGAUGUGCCCCACUGUGUCUCACACUACUGUCACUGCUGGAGGUGUGAGCAACUUCAUUAGCUGACUGCUGUUCUGAGCACUUGGGCUGAAGCUGAUGCUCUCUCCCCAAUAUCUGAUUUAAAUGUUGUACCCCUGAUUAGCCCAGCGCAGCCCCGUUUACCCUCCUGGAGACCCCCCACCCCCGUCAGGACCCCGUGUGAGAGGAAAUGUUCAUGCAGGAUGAGUACUCACUCCACCACAUCGUCCUGAUCCGCAAACUCUUCAUCAUUGAAGCCGAACUGCUCAAUAAAAUUGGACGUCAUUUGUUGCAUCUGAUAA
Silurus meridionalis is the source of this 3246-nucleotide long non-coding RNA. RefSeq lists it as uncharacterized. The record is from RefSeq and is a predicted model, not a curated record. NCBI's taxonomy places the organism in Eukaryota, Metazoa, Chordata, Actinopteri, Siluriformes, Siluridae. The transcript is spliced from 2 exons.